RNAcentral lists this ribosomal RNA (492 nucleotides) under uncultured bacterium. Its description in RNAcentral is "partial 16S ribosomal RNA". It matches the Rfam family "Bacterial small subunit ribosomal RNA", at positions 29 to 507 of the family's 1533-position model. The record is from RNAcentral.
AGUGAACGCUGGCGGUAGGCCUAACACAUGCAAGUCGAACGGCAGCACAGUAAGAGCUUGCUCUUACGGGUGGUGAGUGGCGGACGGGUGAGGAAUACAUCGGAAUCUACUUUUUCGUGGGGGAUAACGUAGGGAAACUUACGCUAAUACCGCAUACGACCUACGGGUGAAAGCAGGGGAUCUUCGGACCUUGCGCGAUUGAAUGAGCCGAUGUCGGAUUAGCUAGUUGGCGGGGUAAAGGCCCACCAAGGCGACGAUCCGUAGCUGGUCUGAGAGGAUGAUCAGCCACACUGGAACUGAGGAAAGGUCCAGACUCCUACGGGAGGCAGCAGUGGGGAAUAUUGGACAAUGGGCGCAAGCCUGAUCCAGCCAUACCGCGUGGGUGAAGAAGGCCUUCGGGUUGUAAAGCCCUUUUGUUGGGAAAGAAAAGCAGCAGGUUAAUACCCCGCUGUUCUGACGGUACCCAAAGAAUAAGCACCGGCUAACUUCGUG